UCGACCCCCCAAUCUACGAGAGAUAAGUAAGCGACAUCUACCUAUUUCCAUCAUUCGAUUGGUGUCCUUAUUAGGAAGUGGAUUGGUACUAUCCUUCUCAGUUAUCUUUCUGGCAAUCGUCUAGACGCAGCUGCAUCAUGAGAAUCACAUUUGUGUUGCUGGGUGUUCUGGCCGUGUUGGGCGCUUCCUCAGCCUUCUCCUUGUCGGCUGUGGGAGGGCUCUCCUCACAACUCCAGAAGGACACUGUAGAUGCUGAGGAAAUGAGGAAACGCGUCGAGAGGAAUGCUGAGGAAGACGUUGAUGAUGGUGAUGACGAUGAUGAUGAUGAUGAUGAUGACGA
Molecule: non-coding RNA, 340 nt
Organism: Penaeus vannamei (Pacific white shrimp)
Lineage: Eukaryota; Metazoa; Arthropoda; Malacostraca; Decapoda; Penaeidae
Source: RefSeq, a predicted model, not a curated record